GAUGAACGCUGGCGGCGUGCCUAAUACAUGCGAGUCGAGCGAACAGACGAGGAGCUUGCUCCUCUGACGUUAGCGGCGGACGGGUGAGUAACACGUGGAUAACCUACCUAUAAGACUGGGAUAACUUCGGGAAACCGGAGCUAAUACCGGAUAAUAUAUUGAACCGCAUGGUUCAAUAGUGAAAGACGGUUUUGCUGUCACUUAUAGAUGGAUCCGCGCCGCAUUAGCUAGUUGGUAAGGUAACGGCUUACCAAGGCAACGAUGCGUAGCCGACCUGAGAGGGUGGUCGGCCACGCUGAAGCUGAGACACGCGCCAGACCCCUGGGGGGGGCAGCAGUAGGAAUCUUCCGCAAUGGGCGAAGGCUUGACGAAGCAACGCCGCGUGGGUGAUGAGGGUCUUCGGAUCGUAAAACUCUGUUAUUGGGGAGAACAAAUGUGUAAGUAACUAUGCACGUCUUGACGGUACCUAAUCAGAAAGCCACGGCUAACUACGUG
Molecule: ribosomal RNA, 495 nt
Filed under: uncultured bacterium
Lineage: Bacteria
Description: partial 16S ribosomal RNA
Rfam family: Bacterial small subunit ribosomal RNA
Source: RNAcentral